AUUGAACGCUGGCGGCAUGCCUUACACAUGCAAGUCGAACGGCAGCACGGGAGCAAUCCUGGUGGCGAGUGGCGAACGGGUGAGUAAAGUAUCGGAACGUGCCCAGUCGUGGGGGAUAACGUAGCGAAAGCUACGCUAAUGCGGCAUACGAUCUAUGGAUGUUAGCGGGGGAUCGCAAGACCUCGCGCGAUUGGAGCGGCCGAUAUCAGAUUAGGUAGUUGGUGGGGUAAAGGCCCACCAAGCCGACGAUCUGUAGCUGGUCUGAGAGGACGACCAGCCACACUGGGACUGAGACACGGCCCAGACUCCUACGGGAGGCAGCAGUGGGGAAUUUUGGACAAUGGGCGCAAGCCUGAUCAAGCAAUGCCGCGUGCAGGAUGAAGGCCUUCGGGUUGUAAACUGCUUUUGUACGGAGCGAAAAGGCUCUCUCUAAUACAGGGGGCUCAUGA
Molecule: ribosomal RNA, 449 nt
Filed under: uncultured bacterium
Lineage: Bacteria
Description: bacterial SSU rRNA
Rfam family: Bacterial small subunit ribosomal RNA
Source: RNAcentral